Molecule: non-coding RNA, 72 nt
Organism: Phrynosoma platyrhinos (Desert horned lizard)
Lineage: Eukaryota; Metazoa; Chordata; Lepidosauria; Squamata; Phrynosomatidae
Source: the annotation of a GenBank genome assembly
GUCAGCAUGGUAUCAUGGUUUGAGUGUUGGACUAUGACUCUGAAGACAAGGGUUCGAUUCCCAAUUCAGCCA